This 215-nucleotide long non-coding RNA is filed under the name Physcomitrium patens. RNAcentral describes it as "long non-coding RNA (PPAT_LNC011931)". Lineage: Eukaryota; Viridiplantae; Streptophyta; Bryopsida; Funariales; Funariaceae. The record is from RNAcentral.
UAAUACCAAUCACAUUUCCAUUCCAUAAUUCACUUCACAAUAUUCAGAAACUUUCAAUCUUCUUAUUCAAAGAAAAUAACAAACAAAAGAAAAGAGAUAGCACCAAGCUUACUUUGGCUUACAACUCUCACAGUCUGGCCCUUGGCUUACAACUCUCACAGUCUGGCAUUUUCUUCCCCUCUCUCAUCUUCCUUAUACUACCCCGAGAUACCAAC